GUCGACGAGAACGGGUCUUAGCUUGCUAGAUUGUCAGCUAAGUGGCGCACGGGUGAGUAAUAUAUAGUUAACCUGCCCUAGAGAGAGGGAUAACGUUUGGAAACGGACGCUAACACCUCAUAUGCCUUUAAGUCAAAAGACUGCAAGGGAAACAUUUAUGGCUCUAGGAUGGGACUGUACGGUAUCAGUUAGUUGGUGAGGUAAUGGCUCACCAAGACAAUGACACCUAACUGGUUUGAGAGGAUGAUCAGUCACACUGGAACUGAGACACGGUCCAGACUCCUACGGGAGGCAGCAGUGGGGAAUAUUGCACAAUGGACGAAAGUCUGAUGCAGCAACGCCGCGUGGAGGAUGACACAUUUCGGUGCGUAAACUCCUUUUAUAUAGGAAGAUAAUGACGGUACUAUAUGAAUAAGCACCGGCUAACUCCGUGCCAGCAGCCGCGGUAAUACGGAGGGUGCAAGCGUUACUCGGAAUCACUGGGCGUAAAGAGAAUGUAGGCGGGUAAUUAAGUCAGAAGUGAAAUCCAAUAGCUCAACUAUUGAACUGCUUUUGAAACUGAUAACCUAGAAUAUGGGAGAGGUAGAUGGAAUUUCUGGUGCAGGGGUAAAAUCCGUA
Molecule: ribosomal RNA, 618 nt
Filed under: uncultured Arcobacter sp.
Lineage: Bacteria; Pseudomonadati; Campylobacterota; Epsilonproteobacteria; Campylobacterales; Arcobacteraceae
Description: bacterial SSU rRNA
Rfam family: Bacterial small subunit ribosomal RNA
Source: RNAcentral